AUUGAACGCUGGCGGCAUGCUUUACACAUGCAAGUCGAACGGCAGCGCGGGCUUCGGCCUGGCGGCGAGUGGCGAACGGGUGAGUAAUAUAUCGGAACGUACCCAAGAGUGGGGGAUAACGUAGCGAAAGUUACGCUAAUACCGCAUACGAUCUAAGGAUGAAAGCAGGGGAUCGCAAGACCUUGUGCUCCUGGAGCGGCCGAUAUCUGAUUAGCUAGUUGGUGGGGUAAAGGCCCACCAAGGCAACGAUCAGUAGCUGGUCUGAGAGGACGACCAGCCACACUGGAACUGAGACACGGUCCAGACUCCUACGGAGACAGCAGUGGGGAAUUUUGGACAAUGGGCGCAAGCCUGAUCCAGCAAUGCCGCGUGAGUGAAGAAGGCCUCGGUUGUAAAGCUCUUUUGUUCAGGGAAGAAAAGGUUAGUGGCUAAUAUCACAACUGCUGACGGUACCUGAAGAA
This 461-nucleotide ribosomal RNA is filed under the name uncultured bacterium. RNAcentral describes it as "bacterial SSU rRNA". It matches the Rfam family "Bacterial small subunit ribosomal RNA", at positions 30 to 486 of the family's 1533-position model. The record is from RNAcentral.